UCGAGAAUCAUUCGCAAUGGGCGCAAGCCUGACGAUGCGACGCCGCGUGAGUGAAGAAGGCCUUCGGGUUGUAAAGCUCUUUCGCUAGGGAACAAGAGAGGGUGGCUAAUAUCCAUCUGAUUUGAGGGUACCUGGUAAAGAAGCACCGGCUAACUACGUGCCAGCAGCUGCGGUAAUACGUAGGGUGCUAGCGUUAAUCGGAUUUAUUGGGCGUAAAGGGCGCGUAGGUGGGUUGGAAAGUCAGAUGUGAAAUGCCGAGGCUCAACCUCGGACGUGCAUUUGAAACUUCCGAUCUAGAGGGUAGGCGGAGAAAACGGAAUUCCACAAGUAGCGGUGAAAUGCGUAGAUAUGUGGAAGAACACCGGUGGCGAAGGCGGUUUUCUAGCUUAUACCUGACACUGAGGCGCGAAAGCAAGGGGAUCAAACAGGAUUAGAUACCCCUGUAGUCC
Molecule: ribosomal RNA, 449 nt
Filed under: uncultured bacterium
Lineage: Bacteria
Description: bacterial SSU rRNA
Rfam family: Bacterial small subunit ribosomal RNA
Source: RNAcentral